This 333-nucleotide ribosomal RNA is filed under the name uncultured eukaryote. RNAcentral's name for it is "partial 18S ribosomal RNA". It matches the Rfam family "Eukaryotic small subunit ribosomal RNA", at positions 1470 to 1796 of the family's 1831-position model. The record is from RNAcentral.
CCCUUAGAUGUCCGGGGCUGCACGCGCGCCACACUGAGUGGAUCAGCGUGUGUCUACCCUUCGCCGAGAGGCGUGGGUAACCCGCUGAACCCCACUCGUGAUAGGGAUUGGGGAUUGCAAUUAUUUCCCAUGAACGAGGAAUUCCCAGUAAGCGCGGGUCAUAAGCUCGCGUUGAUUAAGUCCCUGCCCUUUGUACACACCGCCCGUCGCUACUACCGAUUGGAUGGUUUAGUGAGGUCCUCGGAUCGGCCCCGCCGGGGUCGGUCACGGCCCUGGCGGAGCGCCGAGAAGACGAUCAAACUUGACUAUCUAGAGGAAGUAAAANUCGUAACA